CACUGUUUAGGAUGAUUGUUUAAAAAGACAAUGGGAAUCUCUCUGAAAAAGAGUGAAAGACUACUUUUUGAACUGAAACAGUG
Small nucleolar RNA from Megalops cyprinoides (Indo-Pacific tarpon), 83 nucleotides. RefSeq annotates it as small nucleolar RNA SNORD79. The record is from RefSeq and is a predicted model, not a curated record. NCBI's taxonomy places the organism in Eukaryota, Metazoa, Chordata, Actinopteri, Elopiformes, Megalopidae. The transcript has a single exon.